AAUACGUUCCCGGGCCUUGUACACACCGCCCGUCAAGCCAUGGAAGCUGGAAGUGCCUGAAGUGCGUAACCGUAAGGAGCGUCCUAGGGUAAAGUCGGUAACUGGGGCUAAGUCGUAACAAGGUACCC
Molecule: ribosomal RNA, 128 nt
Filed under: uncultured bacterium
Lineage: Bacteria
Description: partial 16S ribosomal RNA
Rfam family: Bacterial small subunit ribosomal RNA
Source: RNAcentral